Molecule: ribosomal RNA, 496 nt
Filed under: uncultured bacterium
Lineage: Bacteria
Description: partial 16S ribosomal RNA
Rfam family: Bacterial small subunit ribosomal RNA
Source: RNAcentral
GAUGAACGCUGGCGGCGUGCCUAAUACAUGCAAGUCGAGCGAACGGACGAGAAGCUUGCUUCUCUGAUGUUAGCGGCGGACGGGUGAGUAACACGUGGAUAACCUACCUAUAAGACUGGGAUAACUUCGGGAAACCGGAGCUAAUACCGGAUAAUAUUUUGAACCGCAUGGUUCAAAAGUGAAAGACGGUCUUGCUGUCACUUAUAGAUGGAUCCGCGCUGCAUUAGCUAGUUGGUAAGGUAACGGCUUACCAAGGCAACGAUGCAUAGCCGACCUGAGAGGGGGGACGGCCAAGCUGGAACUGAGACACGGGCCAAAAACCUACGGGGGGGAGCAGGAGGGAAUUUUCCGAAAGGGGCGAAAUCCUGACGGAGCAACGCCGGGGGAGUAAAGAAGGGUUGCGGAUCGUAAAACCCUUGUAUUGGGGAAGAACAAAUGCGAAAGUAACUGGGACCACCUGGACGGUACCAAAUCAGAAAGCCCCGGCAAACUACGG